This 465-nucleotide ribosomal RNA is filed under the name Vreelandella stevensii. Its description in RNAcentral is "partial 16S ribosomal RNA". It matches the Rfam family "Bacterial small subunit ribosomal RNA", at positions 338 to 795 of the family's 1533-position model. The record is from RNAcentral. Lineage: Bacteria; Pseudomonadati; Pseudomonadota; Gammaproteobacteria; Oceanospirillales; Halomonadaceae.
CCUACGGGGGGCAGCAGUGGGGAAUAUUGGACAAUGGGCGAAAGCCUGAUCCAGCCAUGCCGCGUGUGUGAAGAAGGCCUUCGGGUUGUAAAGCACUUUCAGUGGGGAAGAAAGCCUUGGGGCUAAUACCCUCGAGGAAGGACAUCACCCACAGAAGAAGCACCGGCUAACCCCGUGCCAGCAGCCGCGGUAAUACGGAGGGUGCGAGCGUUAAUCGGAAUUACUGGGCGUAAAGCGCGCGUAGGCGGUCUGAUAAGCCGGUUGUGAAAGCCCCGGGCUCAACCUGGGAACGGCAUCCGGAACUGUCAGGCUAGAGUGCAGGAGAGGAAGGUAGAAUUCCCGGUGUAGCGGUGAAAUGCGUAGAGAUCGGGAGGAAUACCAGUGGCGAAGGCGGCCUUCUGGACUGACACUGACGCUGAGGUGCGAAAGCGUGGGUAGCAAACAGGAUUAGAUACCCGUGUAGUC